RNAcentral lists this ribosomal RNA (683 nucleotides) under fungal sp. K26. RNAcentral describes it as "partial 18S rRNA". Lineage: Eukaryota; Fungi. The record is from RNAcentral.
AACCCAAAAACUUUGAUUUCUCGUAAGGUGCCGAGCGGGUCAUCAUAGAAACCCCGCCCGAUCCCUAGUCGGCAUAGUUUAUGGUUAAGACUACGACGGUAUCUGAUCGUCUUCGAUCCCCUAACUUUCGUUCCCUGAUUAAUGAAAACAUCCUUGGCGAAUGCUUUCGCAGUAGUUAGUCUUCAGCAAAUCCAAGAAUUUCACCUCUGACAGCUGAAUACUGACGCCCCCGACUAUCCCUAUUAAUCAUUACGGCGGUCCUAGAAACCAACAAAAUAGAACCGCACGUCCUAUUCUAUUAUUCCAUGCUAAUGUAUCCGAGCAAAGGCCUGCUUUGAACACUCUAAUUUUUUCACAGUAAAAGUCCUGGUUCCCCGCCACAGCCAGNGAAGGCCAUGGGAUUCCCCANAANGAAAGGCCCAUCCGGACCAGUACUCGCGGNGAGGCGGACCGGCAGGACGGGCCCAAGGUUCAACUACNAGCUUUUUAACUGCAACAACUUUAAUAUACGCUAUNGGAGCUGGAAUUACCGCGGNUGCUGGCACCAGACUUGCCCUCCAAUNGUUCCUCGUUAAGGGAUUUANAUNGUUCUCAUUCCAAUUACAAGACCCAAAAGAGCCCUGUAUCAGUAUUUAUUGUCACUACCUCCCCGUAUCGGGAUUGGGUAAUUUGCGCGCCUGCUG